AGCAGCUGCCCCUGCAAAUGUCAGCGCCAGCCCAGUCAAAAGAGCUUGAAACCUACCAAGCCGGAGGACUGUGCUGUGCCUCUCUCGCCCACAUUUUCCCCAAGCACUCUCAGGAACCUGGCAACAGUGUCCCCUUGUGGCCAAGCCUGGAACAUCACAUCUGUACGUUGCAAUCUGUGGAUCAGCUACGAGACUGAGAGAAAGGAAUGAAAGGAUGGAAGAAUUACAAGAUCAGGCACUGCUGUCUGUCUGUUCCACGGAUGUAACCACAGCACACGCGUGGCUCACGGUACUAGUGUGAUAAAUGCUUGUUACAUGAAGGCGUGAACAGGGAUGAGAAGAGACUUCCUGGAGAAACAAAAGGACUAACAAUCAGGAAGGGGAGGUGAUCGGGGCAGGAGUAAAGUGGACACCUCAGCAAAGCCAUUCGCUGUGAUCUCUGAUUGUGCAGUGUCAUGUCCUGUCACCAGAGCCCCCUCGUGUUUGAUGUUGGCCAAUGCCGCCAGCAUGAUCUAGCAGGCCAAAUCCUAAUCUACCAUUCUCUGACACCAGCUGGUCCCCUGGGUCGUCCACCCGAUGUCCCCCAUUCUCCCCACUUGGCCUCCCCCACAGGCUCUCGGCAAAGGACCGUGGGAGGCACCUGUGACACUGCCCUUUUCCUGUGCAGCUGUUUUUCUUCUUCAUUCUUUUCACUCCUCGUUACUCUUUUUUUUUUCACUCUCAGCCCACACAAAACUAGGAACUUUGUUAUUCUACUUAUUUUUCUGUACUCUGUCUGUUUGCACACAGAUGGAUAUCUGAGAGCCAGCGAACUUUCUUUACCUCCUAGUAUCAUUUCAUGAAAAUUAGUAGCACCUGCACAAUGGGGCCUUGGAGACAGGAAUAAAAGGAAAAAUCUGGAAUGGAAUCACAUGACGCAACAGGCUAUGAAGACUCCCUGCCCGGCUGCUAUAUGUCUGGUAAACAGAAUAAAUAGUACUUGAGCAUCCCUGA
Molecule: long non-coding RNA, 993 nt
Organism: Homo sapiens (human)
Lineage: Eukaryota; Metazoa; Chordata; Mammalia; Primates; Hominidae
Gene: DLGAP1-AS1
Product: DLGAP1 antisense RNA 1
Exons: 3
Source: RefSeq, marked validated